This 622-nucleotide ribosomal RNA is filed under the name uncultured bacterium. RNAcentral's name for it is "bacterial SSU rRNA". The stretch from base 1 to 526 matches the Rfam family "Bacterial small subunit ribosomal RNA", at positions 338 to 873 of the family's 1533-position model. The record is from RNAcentral.
CCUACGGGAGGCAGCAGUGGGGAAUAUUGCACAAUGGGCGAAAGCCUGAUGCAGCAACGCCGCGUGAGGGAUGACGGCCUUCGGGUUGUAAACCUCUUUUAGUAGGGAAGAAGCGAAAAGUGACGGUACCUGCAGAAAAAGCACCGGCUAACUACGUGCCAGCAGCCGCGGUAAUACGUAGGGUGCAAGCGUUGUCCGGAAUUAUUGGGCGUAAAGAGCUCGUAGGCGGUUUGUCGCGUCUGCUGUGAAAUCCCGAGGCUCAACCUCGGGCUUGCAGUGGGUACGGGCAGACUAGAGUGCGGUAGGGGAGAUUGGAAUUCCUGGUGUAGCGGUGGAAUGCGCAGAUAUCAGGAGGAACACCGAUGGCGAAGGCAGAUCUCUGGGCCGUAACUGACGCUGAGGAGCGAAAGCAUGGGGAGCGAACAGGAUUAGAUACCCUGGUAGUCCAUGCCGUAAACGUUGGGCGCUAGAUGUAGGGACCUUUCCACGGUUUCUGUGUCGUAGCUAACGCAUUAAGCGCCCCGCCUGGGGGAGGUACGGCCGCGACGGACGUAAACGUAACGUAAAGAAAGUUAGUUAGGUCGUUGAGACGUUGCCGACGGACGACGACGAGGGGAGGAGG